AAAAGAAACCAACAGGGAUUGCCUUAGUAGCGGCGAGUGAAGCGGCAAAAGCUCAAAUUUGAAAUCUGGCUCUUUCAGAGUCCGAGUUGUAAUUUGAAGAAGGUAUCUUUGGGUCUGGCUCUUGUCUAUGUUUCUUGGAACAGAACGUCACAGAGGGUGAGAAUCCCGUGCGAUGAGAUGAUCCAGGCCUAUGUAAAGUUCCUUCGAAGAGUCGAGUUGUUUGGGAAUGCAGCUCUAAGUGGGUGGUAAAUUCCAUCUAAAGCUAAAUAUUGGCGAGAGACCGAUAGCGAACAAGUACAGUGAUGGAAAGAUGAAAAGAACUUUGAAAAGAGAGUGAAAAAGUACGUGAAAUUGUUGAAAGGGAAGGGCUUGAGAUCAGACUUGGUAUUUUGUAUGUUACUUCUUCGGGGGUGGCCUCUACAGUUUAUCGGGCCAGCAUCAGUUUGGGCGGUAGGAGAAUUGCGUUGGAAUGUGGCACGGCUUCGGUUGUGUGUUAUAGCCUUCGUCGAUACUGCCAGCCUAGACUGAGGACUGCGGUUUAUACCUAGGAUGUUGGCAUAAUGAUCUUAAGUCGCCCG
This 578-nucleotide ribosomal RNA is filed under the name Candida tropicalis. Its description in RNAcentral is "partial large subunit ribosomal RNA". It matches the Rfam family "Eukaryotic large subunit ribosomal RNA", at positions 57 to 651 of the family's 3401-position model. The record is from RNAcentral. Lineage: Eukaryota; Fungi; Ascomycota; Pichiomycetes; Serinales; Debaryomycetaceae.